This is a long non-coding RNA of Poecile atricapillus (Black-capped chickadee), 1349 nucleotides long. RefSeq lists it as uncharacterized. Lineage: Eukaryota; Metazoa; Chordata; Aves; Passeriformes; Paridae. The transcript has 3 exons. The record is from RefSeq and is a predicted model, not a curated record.
AACGAUGCUCUUCCUGACUUUUGAGGAAGAUGUGUCUGUUCAGCCACACUGUUUAUCCACUUCAGAAAUGACCAUCCACUCUUACUGCCUGACAUGAAGCACAGAAGAAGGUAUUUCAUUUAAAAGUACAGCUUUUACAAGGUCAACAUGAAAACACACAUGUACAGGAUUAAAUAAGAGAUGUGAACUCACCAUAGCAACCCCUGCAUCACAUUGCAGAUAUGCUGCUUCUAAGAUACGGCAAAUGUAUCUGAAGAAAUACACAUGAAUAUGAGAUUUCACUUGUAGAGGAGGAGCACCCAUUUUCUCACACUGCCUGAGAUGACCGAUGAAGAAGACAGCAAGUAUUCUGGACUGACACAUGUAGUUGUCUCCAUACUUUCUUUCAUCAGUGUUCAAGGUUUUGUCUCUGUGGUACAGAAAUGCAGGAACCCUAAAUAAAUUUUGAAUAUUUUUGGUAGCAGAGGUUUAAUUAAAACCUCAAAGGUUUUAUUAGGCCCAAAAACCUCAUUGCCAAUCUGCAUAUCUACAUUUUAUCAGAAAGAAAAGGUUUUUUAUUCUUUCAAGCCAACAAGUUUUUUCAUUGAAGAUGUUAAAAAAUCUGUUUAAGAAAUCUACUGAUAAAACACAUCCCGUUACAUGCAACUUAUUUUCACUACAACACCACUUCUCCAUUGGUUUGCUGUAUUUUUUCAGAGGGUUAUUUAUACUUGGGGUAAGGGUUGAUGUACAGUGACUGAAUGGCUGGUCCCUGGUGUUUCUGUGCACUGGGGACAUGCUCUGGUCCCAGGUAACCCUGGUUAUGAUGGGGUUCAAGGGUUCACCUUUCCCAUGAGUUGGGUUCCAAGUCUUCCUUGGUGGAGCUCCUGCCCUGGCUGUGUUUCCUGGGAUGGUGCCUUGAUUUUGGUGGGAGCUGAGGCUGACUGCCCCAGAGCCUGGGAGAACUGUUUGGCUUAUACACUCACCAGGACUGCUGGCCUCCUCCCAGCUGUGCAAGGAGUUGUAUUUAAUCUCUGGUUUUUAUUCCCUCGCCAUGGCUACCUAGUGGUGCAAAACGUGCAGCUGCUGAGGUGAGAAGGGGUGGUUCAGCCAGCAUGGGUGAUACAAAAUGCCUGCCUGAGAAGCUGCCUGACAAUUUCCACCUUUGCUAUCAUUCAAAACUCCCUUUAAGCUGAUCACUGUGCUUAGUUUUGACUGUCCCUUUGCUCACCUUAGGGAUAAUGUUAAUUGUGACUCUGUGCUGGCAGAGAUUGCCACAGGGUAUUUGUGCUCUUCCUUGGCUUCUUUAUGUCUGUAGUACUCCUAGGUUUUUUGGCUUGUUUGCGGUUGGAUUUUUGUUUGUUUUUUUG